Molecule: long non-coding RNA, 2038 nt
Organism: Gallus gallus (chicken)
Lineage: Eukaryota; Metazoa; Chordata; Aves; Galliformes; Phasianidae
Source: Ensembl
GAGACUCUUCCCUGAGUAAUUCAAUCAGAGGACAUUCAGCUGCGUAUAACCCAGCUCUGUGGUGUGCUGUAUGAGUCAAUGCUGCUUCUGAAUGUCUCAAAGAUGCAUGCAUAUCUUCUUGCCAUUCCCAGGACACGAGUACCGUGGAGAGGCUUAGUAAUUCAAUUUUUUUCCAGAAAUCUCUUCUAAAUAGUCUGUCCACCUCAAGCAUGCUGCUCCACACUGCACUUAUGCAGUCCUGGGAGAGCAGCAGAGCAAGUGACAUCAUUGCCAAGCUCAUCAGUGCUGCCAGCUUGUGCCAAGAACCAUUUCUGAGCUAGCAUGGCCCUGGAGAUGACAAGGGGAGAAACACAGCAAACUGGAGAGAGGCUUCCCUGGUGAGAGGAGAGCUGUGGUAGCCCUGGGGCUGUCAAGCAUGGCUCUGGCUCCAGACGAUAGGCAUUAUAUAUCAAUUUAGUUCUGGUGAAGGCUGCUCAAUUGACAGCCCUGGAAACCAGUGCUGUGUGCUUAUAAGCAGUCUGGGCAGAGGGCUGCAACAUGGAUGGCAGAAGCACAAACUUGCAGAAAUUGCUUGUCCAUCUCAAAACAGACUUCAAGCAUCUGGCUCCAUGGAGCACAGCCGAACUGCCCAGGCAGACAUGGUCUUCUGAGGUCUGAAAGCAACAGUGCCAAAGAACUGCUGAAGGAUUUCUACAAGAAGUCGCAUGGAAAUACUGCUGAGAAAUUGGUCCUUCCGAGGAUCAGAGGAGAUGAAGCAAAACUAACUGUACAAUUUUUCACAAGCUUUCCAAAUGCAUUUUUUGCAGACUAGUGAUGACUUUCAGCUCUUUCCACCCACCAGUAAUUCCGGUUUUAUAGAACAGUGGAGGGAAGGCUAAGGAGAAGCAAAGUUCAUUUCCCACUUGCAUCAUUAGUGAAAAAACAUUCCUGGAGCUUUUAAUAGCAGCUGUCAGCAUUAAAGCUCAUGGUGUACAACUCAGAGGUAGAUUCAUCUCUCCUGAACAAAUUUAAUUAACAAAGCUGCACUACAGCAACACACAAGUAGGAGUGAGCAGUUAACAGCUCCCAGUCUAAAGUAUGAAGCUUCCUGAAGAAAUACUGCUGAUUAAAGCAGUGCAGUGAAAAGUUCUUCACAUAUCUAAAUUUCUAUCACUGUCCCAAAGGUGGAGCAACAUACACCAGUGUCACCACCAGAGGACAGGGUAGUAUUAACCAACAUGAACCAUGAAUGAGCUGCUUCUUAUGACCAGUUGGAGCCUUGCAGGUAACAGCAGACAGAAGGGAUUGCGGGAAAGGGCAUGUGAGAGAAGCAAGUCAUCAAUAGCAAUAAAACUGAGUAUACCACUUCAAAAAUUGUGUGUGGAUAUACACAUAUGACAAUACAUAUUUUAAAUGCAUCGUUGCAUUUGUUGGUGUUCAAAGAGCGUUUGGAUGUUGUGUUGAGGGACAUGGUUUAGCGAGAACCAUUGGUGAAGGACGAAUGGUUGGACUGGAUGAUCCUGUGGGUCUUUUCCAACCUUGGUGAUUCUAUGAUUCUAUGAUUGCAGCCAAAUUUUCUGUGCUUCUCAGGUCCGCUUGCUAUGCUCUUCAUAGAGCAAUGAAAUCACAGCAUUGUAAAUCAGGCUGCUGUCACUAGGUUUUAAAAUUAGAACAGUGCCUCCCACUCUCCAUUUUUUUACACCUGCCCAUAUGCUUUUAUACACAACAAUAUUCAAUUGUUUCAUCCUUCCCCCAAUCCAUCAGUGAUGUUCAGAGUUGUAUAAAAAAAAAAUUGUCUCGCUGCAAUAGGCCACCUAAUAAAAUGGAAGGAAAGAUCAGUCCAAGGCAAAUUAGAUGACCCAUAGAGCUAAAUAUACAAUUUCAUUUUGAUAUUAUCUCACAUUUAAUAACAAUAAAUGGGAGCAAAUCUUCAAAACAGGAUUGUUUCAAAUUGGAAGUAUUUUCUUUGAAGGAUUUCAAAAUAAAUAUUUUCAAGCACUAUUUUCUUCCAAAACAAUCACUGCAUUCUAGCCAAAUAAAUAAACACUUUGAGAAGUUU